UCUUGGUCAUUUAGAGGAAGUAAAAGUCGUAACAAGGUUUCCGUAGGUGAACCUGCGGAAGGAUCAUUAAUGAAUUAACUUGGGGGUUGAUGCUGGCUUUGAUGCAUGUGCUCGCCCUCAUAAUUCUAUCCCAUACACCUGUGCACAUCUUGAAGGUUCGAGGGGAUGUCUCCUUGACCUUCUUCUUACAAACUCUUUCCUAAUAACCGAAUGUGAUUGUGCCGAAAGGCCGUAAACUUAUACAACUUUUAACAACGGAUCUCUUGGCUCUCGCAUCGAUGAAGAACGCAGCGAAUUGCGAUAAGUAAUGUGAAUUGCAGAAUUCAGUGAAUCAUCGAAUCUUUGAACGCACCUUGCGCUCCCUGGUAUUCCGGGGAGCACGCCUGUUCGAGUGUCGUGAAAUACCUCAAGCUGGAUGCUUUGUUGCUAUCUUGGCUUGGAUUUGGAUUUUGCCGCGCAUGACUUAUGGUUGUGGCGGCUGGUCUUAAAUGCAUUAGCUGACCCAUGAUGUAUCUUUGGUUCUACUCGGCGUGAUAAGUUAUGACCGCUGAGGACAUCUGCUUUUGGGCGGAUGGCCAGGAGUGCCUUGGAUCGCUUCCAAUCUGUCUGUCCUUUGCGGCGACAACCUUUCAACAUUGGCCUCGAAUCAGGUGGGACUACCCGCUGAACUUAAGCAUAUCA
Molecule: ribosomal RNA, 681 nt
Filed under: uncultured Cantharellaceae
Lineage: Eukaryota; Fungi; Basidiomycota; Agaricomycetes; Cantharellales; Hydnaceae
Description: eukaryotic LSU rRNA
Rfam family: 5.8S ribosomal RNA (bases 244-397)
Source: RNAcentral